RNAcentral lists this long non-coding RNA (1443 nucleotides) under Marmota monax (woodchuck). Lineage: Eukaryota; Metazoa; Chordata; Mammalia; Rodentia; Sciuridae. The record is from RNAcentral.
GGCGAGGCCAGCCAAUAGUUUAAACCUGCUAUACCAAGUCCUUACAUUCCAAAUAGUCCCAAAAUUGCAAAAAGGAAACCCUGGAAACGAGUGAAAUACAAAUAUUAAGACGGCUAAAAUAUUUGCUAUUGAUUAGAGAGCACCUUUAAAUUAAGGUUCCUCUCAAGUUGAAGAUGACAGAAAAGAAAGUAUAAAGGUGUGGCAGUAGUUGUAUAAAAUAUUGAAAAUCUGAAAAGGUUAAUUGCUUAGGCCAGUGGUCUGUAAUUUCCAGAACAUGAGAGGAUACAGAAUCCUUGCCUCUGUAGCCAUCUGAACUCAAUAUCUGAUAUUCUUCUUGUUGUGGCUUUGAUACGGCCUAACAAAUAGCCACUUACCCAGAGCAAGUGAUCAUGUAGGCCAGAGGAACUUUAGAGAAUACUGACCUCGUUUAUCUGAAGAGAUGGAUCCCACCAGGGGAAAUGUGGCAUUCACUCAAUCCCUUCACUGUCCCUGAAAGUGUGUCCACUUGGCAAAGCUUAUUGUCUUACUUUUCAGGUAGCAUGGAUUAAGAUCAAGAGCAUUAUCCUACAGUUAAGUUCCUGAGUGCUCAGCUCCAGUUAUUCCAUAUCCUUAAGAGGAUUCUUUCAUCAAGCUCUUGUCCAUUGAGAGAUUUAACAGCACUGAGGGACCACAAAAUGUCCCAUUUCUCUUCUUUAUUUCUCUUUUUCACCCCAGUGUACAAGUUUUUACCAAAAUGCUGCAGCAGUAGUUAAAAAUGAGUUAUUUUGUAUUACCAAAAGUAUUCAAUCACAUUAUGAUAGGUCACAUUUGAAUAUAACUUGGAGAUAGCCAAAUAAUGUUUAUUGCAGUGAUUUUGCAAAUUCAGCAUAGUCAAUGUAUCCAUCAUUGUUCUUGUCAUCUCUCAAGACACCAUCUAUUAUGUAAAUCAGUUCUUUUCUCAUUAGUGGCACCUGUUCACUCUCUUCCUCCAUAUGGACAUGAUGGCUCUAGAGAGUUCUAAGCCAUCAAGUAAAUUAUUUCCAUCAUAAUCGUGUAUUUUGAAAUAAUGGAGCUGCAGUUCUUGUGGGGACAUCUCCGCCUAUGGUUUGUUGAUGACACCUUCCAGAUGCUCCAUGAUAUGCUCUUGUUCAUGUACCAUGCUCUUAUCGAAGCCCAGGCUGCCGGGAUGGGGGACAUUGGCCCCAGGCUGCUCAGCCCUGGCAUCUGAAGCACAAAAAGCCCAGAGCAGGCCAUACAGGAAGGGGCCUUUGAGCAGAUGCAGGGAUCUCAGGGUCACCGGUAACUUGAUCCUAGGUCCCAGGUCCCAGUCCCACCCCGCUGCUGAUGCCUGAGCAUCUCCCACUGACCCCCCAGAAUAUUAAUUCUUGCGAGAACAAUCCUGAGAAUUUUGCUGCUGGGUGUGGUGAUACAGGCCUAUAAUCCCAGUGACUCAGGAGGCUGAGG